Haliotis rubra (blacklip abalone) is the source of this 3684-nucleotide RNA transcript. RefSeq lists it as uncharacterized. The transcript is spliced from 3 exons. Lineage: Eukaryota; Metazoa; Mollusca; Gastropoda; Lepetellida; Haliotidae. The record is from RefSeq and is a predicted model, not a curated record.
AUGCCGCCACCACCACGUGAUGUUUGCAAACAACUAUUGUGACCUCUGAACUCGUGUAACGUUUACCAUGAAAAUGUAGUUCCAAAAUGGAUAGCCCAUUUUGUUUAUAGUAAACACUCAUCUGAAGCGCAAAACAUCUAAUUGUAAUAUAUUUGCAUACACUAACCUAGAGAAUUACUAUUUAUAGUCAAAUCAUAAAAUUAAAGGAGUAUAUUUUACUACGCGGUGUACUGCAGUGUUCCUGCGCGGAGACUAAGCACCCACAAGAAGCACAGGUUCAUUCAUUCGUCGUCACUGUAGCUUGCAUUAAAAGAGAAAUAGGAAAAGGUGAUUAUUUUGAAUGACAGCGGAUAAUAUCAGAGUUACAGGACGCUGCAACCGGACCACGUUUUAAAGGAAACAACGCACGUAUGAGAAGCCUUCCUGUCAGAUGGCGGGAGAAGCGACCCCCAUAGUACAGGAGACACGUUCAGAUGCGGAAGGCCGUUUGUGUGUCAGCAGUGCAAGGACACCUGGCAUGAUGGAAGAUCAUUUCAAGAAGGCACACACAGAGAUGAGCCAAACUCGCCAUAUACCCCCGGACCAGAACAUCCAGCACCCAAAAGAUAUUGAGGGAACCUUUGCUAUACUGUCGAGUGACCAGCCAAGACACCAACCAUACAUGUUCAGGUCCUACUUCAUUGUUCUAUCAAAGGCCUACACUGAGGCCCAUAUGGCCAUGACAGAGGAAGGGGACUAUCGACAAGAAGAAGCGGUUAUUGCUUCCCCAAAGGAAGAAGACGUCAAUACGUUUUCCAUUUCCAUAUCCGGGUCACUAUUGCCAGACAAGAACAAGGAAUAUCUUAACUUUGUAUUCAUCCCUCCUGUUCCACAGCGCUUCGACAGUGGACUGAGGGCACGUGGUAGAAAAUAAGUACCAUAUUUGGAAGAAAACAAAGGAUUAUGUACAGACUAUAUGUCGAAAAUAUUCAUCAUUAUUUAAAAAGUUGAAAUAUAUUAUUUUAGCCUAUUAAACACAUAUAUUAGCAGUGCAAACUAUUUGCAUAAUGGGUGUACAUAUUUUAACAGUGUCCAUUACAGCGACUUGUGAAAACAGAUAAAAUACUAACGUGUUAUUAUCAUUAUUAUUAUUAUUUGGGUCAAAAUCUGGUAUGCAUGUAACCAGACAUUUACUAACAACACCAAAACCGAUAGAUUUAAUUUGAAAUUUGAUUUGCUUAGACAUUGUUUAAAACCACCAAAAUAUUAUGUGGGUAAACUUCAAACAUUAGACGUCAGUACAUCUGUUAUCUUUGGGGAUAAAUAGAGAGGAGGUUAGUGUUUCAAAAUAUAAUAAAUACGAAGGUGAUCACUGUUUGCCUUGGAACACAUUAUAGCAAUGGUAGACUCUAGACAGCUUACCUGUGGGUCCCCAAGGCGACUGAGGUUGGGGGUGAUGAAGUAGGUGAUGCCCUCCUUGGCUCCGGGGAGGAGAGAUCCUCUGACCAGUAAGAUAGCCAUGAUUAUGUAAGGCAUGGUUGCUGUGACCCACACCACCUGGGGAAGACAUACAGCAACAAGACCUCUGAAGUAUAGAUAAUGUAGAGAAAAUAUCAUUGUUUCACUGAGAUGUUUUGUUUUUCAUCACCCCUCCUAUGUUCAUGUAUAUAUGUGUACAUGAUGUACAUGACUCUGUACAUAUGUAUAUAUCUAUAUGUAUUUUAUGCCUUAUAAUCUGGGUGCCGUUCUACAAAACAACCUUAGCGCUAAGACUUCCUUAUGUAUAUGUUAAGGUAUGGGAGUUAUGGUCACCUUAGCGGUAAGAUCGCUUUGUACAGGGACUCCCCGGAAACUAUAAGAUCUUGAGUAGCACUGGUAUUCAGUACCAAUGCCUCAUACAGCAGGAAUACUGCUGGCUGUUAAAUGGCAAGCUCGUAAUGUCGGACGGGUCUUCCAGUAAAUGAUACUUUUACAGGUGCUUCCGUCGAUGUUUUCAUAUUGCCAAGACAAAACCAUUCCAAAUAUGAACGAAUACAAAGGACGAAUACACUUCAUUAAAAGCAGACAAAUACAUGGGUACAGCUUGCGUACCAUCACUACCAUAAUGAUGUUGGUUGUAAUACCGGAUGUAUACCUUAAACGUGAGUGUUAGUCAAACAUACUUAAGAGGUCGACAAACUUAUAACAUAAAUAACAUCGUGGAACGAUUAUUGUUUUUUGCAUCCCUUUAAUAGCCGUGAAAGAUUAUUUAUAUCAUUAUUCACGCUAUGUGAUUAGAUACCAAAUCAGACCCUAUUUUUGUAGUCCAAUAUAAGAUAUUUACAUAUUUAAAAUUACAUAUUACAUGUUUAAAUGAUUGCUUUAAUGUACUGAACGUGGCUGUCAAAACGUUAUAGAUCAUUAUGUAAAACCUUCGAUUUACAAACGAUAUAUAUGUUUAACAGUGCAGAAGUUUGAUGUACAUGUGAACAAUGGCAGUGCCAGUCGCGUGAAACAUAUAUAGUAUAAUCAUCUGGUUGUCAGAGAGUAGGAAAGUCACAAUCAUACUUUCAGUCGUCUGCUGACAGACCAUGUAAGACUGGCAUAUGCUGUCUUUAUAUUUCUAUUCUUAACUAAAUUCUACAAAUGAAAACUUUGGUGUUCAGUAGGUAUUACACUCUUUUACUUUUGCCUUAUAUUUAUGUAACCUACCACAUUUGCCUUAUAUUUAUGUAACCUACCACUUUUGCCUUAUAUUUAUGUAACCUACCACAUUUGCCUUAUAUUUAUGUAACCUACCACAUUUGUAAACAUAUUGUGUUCUUUCUUUGCUUGUAUAUGCAUAUUUCAAUCGUAUUUAUGAAACAGGUGAGAAUGUAGCAGUGUUCAUCACAAACUCCAUGUGCUGAAGGCAGUGCCUUUCUUGAGUGUACAAAUAGGUAUACACCGAUCUUAAUGCUUACUUACGUAUAUAUACUUUUACAUUUGUUAAAAUAUAUUGGUUGACACCGUUACUAUGUUGAAAAAUGUAUAUGAAGAUACUUAGCAUCAAUUUCAUUGCUACAUACAUAUUCAUGGUUUAUGAUGUAUACGUCAUCGAAUGAUGUUAAAAUGUGUGGAUGUUUAUACAUCGUAUUCCUUCUGAGUGGAAAUUGCUAGGUAAUGGAAGCUGCUGUCCUAUACGUGGAUGUGAUGAACGGUAAAACACAUGAAACAAGCAAAACUAUUGAUCAACUACUGACAACCAUUGGUAUGUUAUCAAAAUGUCUUUCAUAACUGAAGAACCAAGUCUGCAUAUAAAGGCGACACAUCCCUGCUAAUAGCAGUGUUGACUUUACCAUUCCCAAGUUGUCAUGAACAUGUGUAUAUGAACCUCUAUCACUACUUUUCAUUGAUCUAUUCGCUUGAUUUUCACCACUUUCUUGUCUAGGCCUUUUGGAAUCUGUUUCGACAGAGCGACUGUAUCUGCUCUUUAUUUACACUUUUUUUGCAAUACUACAUGUCCCCUUACUCAAGACAGAUUUAACGUUUAUUUUAAUGUGAAAUUUCCAUUUUAAUAAUCCCAAGUCGGUAGGUAGCGUAUUAGUUCGGGUUUAAGGCUAAUAAAGUACAAAGAAUGUGAUUCUUAAAUAUGUUAUAUAUUAUUAUAUUGGGAAGUAAAUAGACGUGUUCUUCUAUGCUUUAUCUUACUUACUUGCUUGUUCAAUAAAGAAAAUCUUAUAAUUU